Molecule: ribosomal RNA, 272 nt
Filed under: uncultured Oscillibacter sp.
Lineage: Bacteria; Bacillati; Bacillota; Clostridia; Eubacteriales; Oscillospiraceae
Description: partial 16S ribosomal RNA
Rfam family: Bacterial small subunit ribosomal RNA
Source: RNAcentral
AGGAUUCGUCCAAUUGAAGCAGAGGACAGUGGCGGACGGGUGAGUAACGCGUGAGGAACCUGCCUUUCAGAGGGGGACAACAGUUGGAAACGACUGCUAAUACCGCAUGACACAUUGGGGUCGCAUGGCCCCGAUGUCAAAGAUUUAUCGCUGAAAUAUGGCCUCGCGUCUGAUUAGCUAGUUGGUGAGGUAACGGCCCACCAAGGCGACGAUCAGUAGCCGGACUAAGAGGUUGAACGGCCACAUUGGGACUGAGAUACGGCCCAGACCCC